RNAcentral lists this ribosomal RNA (494 nucleotides) under uncultured bacterium. RNAcentral's name for it is "bacterial SSU rRNA". It matches the Rfam family "Bacterial small subunit ribosomal RNA", at positions 903 to 1397 of the family's 1533-position model. The record is from RNAcentral.
AAAGGAAUAGACGGGGGCCCGCACAAGCGGAGGAACAUGUGGUUUAAUUCGAUGAUACGCGAGGAACCUUACCUGGGCUUAAAUGUAGAGUGCAUUUUCUAGAGAUAGAAAUUCCCUUCGGGGCUUUCUGCAAGGUGCUGCAUGGUUGUCGUCAGCUCGUGCCGUGAGGUGUCGGGUUAAGUCCCAUAACGAGCGCAACCCUUAUCGUUAGUUGCCAGCUGGUAAAGCAGGGGACUCUAGCGAAACUGCCACCGUAAGGUGAGAGGAAGGUGGGGAUGACGUCAAAUCAGCACGGCCCUUAUGUCCAGGGCUACACACGUGUUACAAUGGCCGGUACAGAGGGCUGCUACCUGGUGACAGGAUGCUAAUCUCGAAAACCGGUCUCAGUUCGGAUCGAAGUCUGCAACUCGACUUCGUGAAGCCGGAUUCGCUAGUAAUCGCGCAUCAGCAACGGCGCGGUGAAUACGUUCCCGGGCCUUGUACACACCGCCCGU